RNAcentral lists this long non-coding RNA (477 nucleotides) under Actinidia chinensis (golden kiwifruit). RNAcentral describes it as "long non-coding RNA (ACHI_LNC001254)". The record is from RNAcentral. Lineage: Eukaryota; Viridiplantae; Streptophyta; Magnoliopsida; Ericales; Actinidiaceae.
CCGAUACUAGAUUGUGUCCGGUCAAUGUGAUUUUUUAUAAGUACGAAUUUUUUGACAAAAUAUAUAAUGUUAACGGUCUGAAUUAUCAAUAUAAACUCAAAAUAAAACCCAAAAUACUUAAAUUAUACCAGUAUAUUUCAUUUUCUAGACUUUAGAGAAACCAGCUCUAUUUUUCCACACCUUCAUCUAUAACCCCGCACUGAUUAUACAAAGAAAAUUCCUUCACACCUCUCUCUCUCUCUGCCCCUUCAAUUUCAUGGCUUCCAUAGCAAUCUUUCUGGUUCUGCUUCCUAUGAUUGCUAAAGGGGAUGAUAACAAUGUCCCGCCUUAUCUUACUCCUUUUUGGGGUACUCUCUCUCUCCUAUUAUAUAUAUUAUAGUGUGUGUUGAAGUGUGAUUGAUCGAGGUUGUUUUAUUUUGUGAUUGGACAGAAAACAUGAAAUAUUGCAAAGAAGUGGAGUGUGGAAGAGGGAAUUGC